GGAGCAUGUUCAGGCUGCUGUCUUUGGGCGCCUCCUUGCCAGCCGCAACGGGUGGGCAACCUCAGCAGGCCCCCAUCGAGCAGAAAGGGUGGCCCGGCAGAGGGUUGCAGAAGUAAACACGGCAGAGGCCUGACCACUUGAACGGCCACAUCAAGCAAGUCCAUACGUCGGAGAGACCCCACAAAUGCCAGCAGGAAAUUGGCACCAUCCAUGGGAUAAGCUCAGAGACAUCUCCAUCCAUAGAACAGUUGAACCUUCAAGAGGUAUUUCUGAAACACCAUUUAUUUAUUUUUUAUUUAAAAAAACACCAAACCCACCCCCUUUUCUGUUUCUGCUCUGUUUAUCUUGCCUUUGCAAUGUCUGAAAUAGAAAGCACUGGAAUUUUUUUUAUUUGCUAUUAUUAUUACUCAAGAGGAACGGUAUGACUCUUUGACAACGCUUCUCCAUAAUCUUUAAAUUUGAAAUGUUUGAAGCUGAUCAACUCUUUCUUUGUUUUACUUUGCCUUUUUAAAGGGUUCUGAUACCUGAUUUUCUGCUUUCUAGCUUCUGUCCUUUCGUCCUUUUCUCUCUACAGAAUGAACUGUGUACUUCCAGCCACCCGGAGAAAUAUGGAGAUUUAUCCCAAGGAAGAAAGUUAUGCUUUUAUAUCUGGGGUUGUUUCCCCCCCCCCCCCGGGAACUUCGUGCCAU
RNAcentral lists this long non-coding RNA (689 nucleotides) under Pogona vitticeps (central bearded dragon). RNAcentral describes it as "lncRNA (ENSPVIG00000010691.1)". The record is from RNAcentral. Lineage: Eukaryota; Metazoa; Chordata; Lepidosauria; Squamata; Agamidae.